UCGUAACACGAACCGGUGCUAAAGGGUCCUGCCCAACGGUUACUGGCAGGUGCUGUCGGGGCGGGGACCCUUUAGCACCGGUUCGUAUUACCAA
Sorghum bicolor (sorghum) is the source of this 94-nucleotide microRNA precursor. It matches the Rfam family "MIR5387 microRNA precursor family". The record is from Rfam. NCBI's taxonomy places the organism in Eukaryota, Viridiplantae, Streptophyta, Magnoliopsida, Poales, Poaceae.